AGAAUCAACGCUGGCGGCGUGCCUAACACAUGCAAGUCGCACGAGAAAGGGUAGCAAUACCUGAGUACAGUGGCGCACGGGUGAGUAACACGUGAAUAAUCUACCUCCGAGUGGGGAAUAACUGAGAGAAAUCUUAGCUAAUACCGCAUAAUACCCACGGGUCAAAGCAGCAAUGCGCUUGGAGAGGAGUUCGCGGCAGAUUAGUUAGUUGGCGGGGUAAUGGCCCACCAAGACGAUGAUCUGUAUCCGGCCUGAGAGGGCGCACGGACACACUGGAACUGAAACACGGUCCAGACUCCUACGGGAGGCAGCAGUGGGGAAUUUUGCGCAAUGGGGGAAACCCUGACGCAGCAACGCCGCGUGGAGGAUGAAGCCCUUGGGGUGUAAACUCCUUUCGAUCGGGAAGAUAAUGACGGUACCGAUAUAAGAAGCCCGGCUAACUUCGUGCCAGCAGCCGC
RNAcentral lists this ribosomal RNA (458 nucleotides) under uncultured bacterium. Its description in RNAcentral is "SSU rRNA". It matches the Rfam family "Bacterial small subunit ribosomal RNA", at positions 26 to 518 of the family's 1533-position model. The record is from RNAcentral.